RNAcentral lists this long non-coding RNA (4739 nucleotides) under Brassica napus (rape). RNAcentral's name for it is "long non-coding RNA (BNAP_LNC008243)". The record is from RNAcentral. Lineage: Eukaryota; Viridiplantae; Streptophyta; Magnoliopsida; Brassicales; Brassicaceae.
GGUCGUUCCGACAAAGCUUCAACAUCGACUCGUGGUUACUCCCUGAUCCUUUCUCUCACGACAGCGAUGCACUCGCUAAAGCUCUUCACAAAUCCAUCUCCGAUCCUCUCUCUCCUUCAGCUUACUUCGAUUCCGUCGCCGUCUCCGACCUCUCACCUCCUCAAACCAUCUCUAACGUCUCCUUCGGCUCAGAUCCAGAGAUCGCCGUCGGCGGUGGCGGUGGUGGGGGGAAGCGGAAGCGUGGUCCUGGUGUUGCCGGAGGUAAACCGGCGAAACGCCGUUCUCGAGUUUCCACCAAGAAGUCUCAGACGACGUUUAUAACGGCGGACGCGGCUAACUUCCGGCAGAUGGUUCAGCAAGUCACCGGCGCGAAGUAUAACGGUUCUCCCCACGGCUUUUUUGCUCCGGUUGUGAAGCCGGAGCCGCAUAGGCUCGCUAGCAGGCUACCACCGUCUGGUGCUUUUGAUGGAUCCUCUGAGGUUCCGACGCUGGAUACGUCGUCGUUUUUGUCUAACCAUCACCAGGAGACUUUGGUGACAGAGUUGGGCUCUGUUUCAGCGCCGGGGAGUUCGACGGGGGUUGGUGGUGGAUCCGCCGUGGAGUUGGAUAGUUACCCGAGCUUCCCGACGCUUGAGUCGUGGAAAGUGAUGUGAUCUAAUUCGGAUUUAAUUUUAGUGUUUUGUAGAUGUAAUCCUUUUUUUAAAUUAAAGACCCUUUAGAUCCUCUUGUUUCUCUCUUUUAAUGUUAUGAGUAUCUUUGUUAUCAUUUUGAGCUUUGUGGCUAAGGAGUCUCUUCUUGUUCAUACUUUUGGGGGAAAUCAAUGGUUAAUGAAAAAACUUUUAUUUAUUUUGGAGAAUAGUUUUGUUACAUUUGAUGAAAUUGGAACUUUCCUUAGCAUCCUUAGUGAUGGUGAUACUUGGAUUCUACGAAAUAAAAUUCACAUUAUAGAUUUGAAGUUAUUGCUACUUGUCCUCUAUCAUAUAGCUUUCUUUUUUUGUGCACCCUCUAUCAUAAAUCUUUACAUUACAUAUAUAAAGAUAAUUAUGUAUAAUCUGUCACUUUAGAAGGAUGAACCAUUUGAAAGUCAGCAAAGUGGUCAUCUUUACUUUCUUCAUCAAAAGGUUUAUUUGUGCAGAGCACAUGUAAUAGAGAAUUAGUAGAACAUUGAUUUUUUUUUGGUGUAACAUUGAUUUUUAGUUCAUACAAGAAUAUCUCUUUGCUUUUAACCGCCGGUAGGAGGAUAGAGGAUUAGAUUUUUUACUCGGAUGCUAAAGAAUAUCUUUCUUGAUGGUCCCAUUGACAUAUGUUGUCAUUUGUCAAUAUCACACAAUAAGACAAUCAAUCAUAUACGUUACCACCACCAUAAUUAAAUGUCUCCAUUACUGAUACAAAAUCCCAUAUAAUUUUCUUUAAUUUUUUGAAAUUUAUCUGUUUUUCCAAUAUAAUGCUAGAAACUGGUACUCACACAAUAAAGCAGAUAGUGUAACGACAAGAACAGUUUAUCCAAAAGAGAAGAUAAUCUUCCAACAACUACACCUAUAAGAGCAUGUCAAAGUAAACGAUAGUGCUAGAACCCAAGUCAAAAAGAUUGCAUCGUGAAAUAAAAGGUUAAAAAACUCUAGUGAUGGGUUUGGUGAUCAGAAAGAAACUAAAGUAAAAGAAAAUGUAUAGUAAUUCUUAAUUAAUUUCUUUACAAAGAAUAAAGAAAUAUGAUGAGAAAAGCCGCAAGAAAAUUGAAGUUGUUCAAAGUUUCAAUUUUAAAAGCUGAGUCAACGUCAAUGCCACAAAAGAGGAGGCAGCGAUCAUCCCAUCAUCACUCAUGUUCUUAGUUUUGAGUCUUUUGACAGUAAAACGUCACUUGCGUUGAAUUCUUUACUUCUAAACAACACGACACCACUGCAGUGUCCCGUUGAGAUUAAACUCAUCCCAUUUAGUACCAAAACGUAAACUUAAGACAACGCUAGCUUAAAAAUUCUGAAACGUGGACAUUACUAGAUUUGGAUGAACUUAAAUCGUUUUAUUGGAUCUAUGCACAACGAAUUACGUAUGCGAAUCUUUUUAGAGACAAAACAAAAACUGGACGGUGGAAACUCCCGCAAUAAAUAUAAGGAGGGACCAUAGGUUGACCAAGCGAUCUUAUAAUUAGUACAAAGACUAAUGCAAGGGCUACAAAUAUAGGUGGUUGUUGGCUGCACCUGAUAAGGGGGUUUAUGAGGGAAACAUCAUCUUCUUUGUUUGAAAUCAGAUUCAGACACUUAUCUUUCAUCUCAUGUGGGUCGGUCUUUGGACUUCUAAACAGAAUGAGAACGACAUAAAUGAACAUUUUUUGAAUCGGUAUGAUAUAUAGAAACCUUAUACACCUUUAAAACUUCAUUUUGGUUAUAACACCUACAUCUUCACGUGCUUUGCUUUGUGAUGAGUUUACUGUUACAUAGCGCUUCUUCAAAUGAUUUCUGAAAAAGUACAAAGCGUAAAUGAACCAGACAAUAUACUCAUACUUUGUGUAUCUAUCACAUCAUCCACCAGUUGAUAUCUUUUUCUUUAGCUUCAUCAAGUUAUAAUCAUCCGUUCUUGCUUAACUAAGAAACUCAAUACAAAUGUUAACCGGAUAGAAAAUGAUUGUUUAUGACAUAGAUGUUGAAAAAAUCUGCUAAUUAAACUUGAAGAAAAAAAAGAAGAAAACAAAAAGAAUUUAGUGUGAAAACUCGAUUGAGUCAAAUUCUCAUUCUAGGGUUUGUUUAUUGACUAUAUGAAUAAAUAUAUUACAAACUUAAAACUCAUAUUUUAUUCAUAACUAAGGUCGGUCCGCCCUACGGACGGGAUAUUAGUUAAUUUGAUAUUCACUAAAUGCUCGAGUUGAAAUUUGUUUUAAGAUUCAAGAAUUUGGUUAUCUGUUAUGUGUUAUUUAUUAGUAUGCGGUGGUAUAGUUGUUUUUCGAUUAUUCUUGCUUUGGUAUUGUAUCAAAUUAACUAAUUGUCCAACUCAUAAUUAUAGAUGUACAAAUAUGGAUUUGUGAUAAAGUUUGAUGACAAUACUGUUUUUUUUUUAAUUUUUAUUCAUAGCGGAGUGCGCAUGUGUCAGAAAGAAGCCUAUAUCAACUUUUAUGUUUUUGCGUAUGGAUUUUAAAUAUAUAUUAUUUUGUAUAAUGCAUACUUACUCUACAACAUUUGUAGACUAAAAAAACUGUUCUCUAUAUUUUUAAAAGAGAAAAUAUUUAGUCUAGAAUAUAACAUGGACAUAUGUAUUGACUAUAUAUAGAAAUUGAGUGUUAUUUUAAAAUGACAUAUGUAUAGAGGUUUUUCAACCAUUACUUCACUGACACAAAACAUUUAUAACUGCAAAUAUCUUCUUUUAAAAGCAAAACUAAUAAAAGCGUGUAUAACAAAUGUAUUUUGAUAUAUAUUAUAUGCAUCAAGUUAUACAUUUGGAGCAAAGUUUUUAACUUUACGAUCUUCAUCUUGACGUCAGUUCUGUGCCGGCCCUGGCCACAAGCAGAAGAAGCAUGAGCUUCCAGCCAACACGAUAAUAAGUAUUUUGAGGCCACAUAUUUAUAAAAAGUGACUUUAGCCUAGUGAUUCUAAGAGAAAUUACCAGUGCUGGAGUUGUUGGGUUCAAUUACCCCUGACAGCCUUUUGUUUUAUUUUGGCCCCAAAUAUGAAAUGGGACACGUGUUACUCCCAUAACGCAUGACUUGAUGACGUGGCAUCACAGGAGGGAGGCGAACAUAUUUUUAUAUAUAUAGAUUCCACUUUUAUGUUCUACCUGCAUUUACGUAACAUAGCGUCUCUCUUACGAAGUUACGAGUACUUGUUUCAAAAGUUUGAAUCUAAACGGUUUCGACUGAGCAAGCAAUAUUAUCGGUGCAUGACAAGUUACAUCUGUCUGUUUAGUGGAGUUAAUAGAAUCAUAGUAGUGCAGUUAAUUAAAAUGAAUUCAAAACUUCAAAACACGAAUAGUAAUGAUGCAAUUAACACGGCUUAAAGAACUCUCCACAUGCAGAACCGAACAAAAUAAGAUUCAAAAACAUUGUUUUCAAGCCCAUAGUUGUGAAGGGUGGUUUUUUUAGUUGGUCAAUAAGGCUAAGAAGAGACAAAACAACGUACGUCAUUAUCCUUAAUCACUCAUGGGUUUAGUUAAUUAAGUUAAGACCAUAGACGAAGCAGAGCUGAGUCAGUCUUCCGUACAACUCUGCUGACGCGUGUCUUAACGCGUUUUCUUUCUCUCUCCGCCGUCCUAUUUAAUAUCUCUCCUCCGUCUUCAUUCCUUCACUCUCUCUCUAUAACUUCUUCUCCACUCCUAUAAAAAUAAAAUUUCAAGAGUGCUCCAAAAUAAUUAAUACAUUCUCUAUUCGAUUUCAAUUUUUUUUUCACGGUUGUUAAAAAAAAAAGGUUAGAAUAAAAAAAAUCAUGGCGUCGUCUGAUGGAUUAGCGAGCGUUGACCCUUGGUCGUUCCGACAAAGCUUCAACAUCGACUCGUGGUUACUCCCUGAUCCUUUCUCUCACGACAGUGACGUACUCGCUAAAGCUCUUCACAAAUCCAUCUCCGACCCUUUCUCUCCUUCAGCUUACUUCGAUUCCGCCGCCGUCUCCGACCUCUCACCUCCUCAAACCGUCUCUAACGUCUCCUUCGGCUCAGAUCCAGAGAUCGCCGUCGGCGGUGGCGGUGGUGGGGGGAAGCGGAAGCGUGGUCCUGGUGUUGCCGGAGGUAAACCGGCGAAACGCCGUUCUCGAGUUUCCACC